This 540-nucleotide long non-coding RNA is filed under the name Equus caballus (horse). RNAcentral's name for it is "lncRNA (ENSECAG00000030789.2)". Lineage: Eukaryota; Metazoa; Chordata; Mammalia; Perissodactyla; Equidae. The record is from RNAcentral.
CUGAGUUCUAAUCCAGACUCCCCCGCUACCAGGGUGACCUUGGGCGAGAUCACAUCUUUCUUUACAUUAGUUGUACUGCUGGUAACCAAGGGAGCACCAUGUCAGAAAACGACCACAUGACGUGCAGAAAACUAGACUUAUCAAGCUCUAUUAUUCCAAGAUGUCAUGUGAUGAUAUACAAGGAAAGAUUAAGAAUCAUAUGAUUCUCCUGCGUAAGCCCUGAAGUAUGUCUACACGAUAACAGCAACAUGGGAAAAAGUCAUCGACAGGUAGUUCGCUCAGCUGUUGAGAUCACUCUCUUGGUGUGCUGCUUUGUGUCUGACAGGAGGAGUAACAACCAGCCUCCGAGAUGAGGACUAAUUCCAGCACUUGUGAAAGACGCUGGGGAAGAUUAAAGACAACUGGAGAAUUCACUGGAGUGGCAUAAAAAAAAAAUUAUCUGAGUGACGUAUUGAUUAAUGAAGCCACUCCUAGAAACCAAUGAAAAUCAUUAAAGAAUAUUCUUAAGUACUUUUAGGAGUUUCUCUUUUUUGGUUUGUG